RNAcentral lists this ribosomal RNA (253 nucleotides) under uncultured bacterium. Its description in RNAcentral is "partial 16S ribosomal RNA". It matches the Rfam family "Bacterial small subunit ribosomal RNA", at positions 524 to 776 of the family's 1533-position model. The record is from RNAcentral.
UACGGAGGAUCCAAGCGUUAUCCGGAAUCAUUGGGUUUAAAGGGUCCGUAGGCGGUCUUAUAAGUCAGUGGUGAAAUCUCCCCGCUCAACGGGGAAACGGCCAUUGAUACUGUAGGACUUGAAUUAUUAGGAAGUAACUAGAAUAUGUAGUGUAGCGGUGAAAUGCUUAGAGAUUACAUGGAAUACCAAUUGCGAAGGCAGGUUAAUACUAAUGGAUUGACGCUGAUGGACGAAAGCGUGGGUAGCGAACAGG